AGAGUUUGAUCCUGGCUCAGGAUGAACGCUAGCGAUAGGCCUAACACAUGCAAGUCGAGGGGCAGCACAUGAAGUAGCAAUACGGAUGGUGGCGACCGGCGCGCGGGUGAGUAACGCGUAUGCAACCUGCCUACAACAGGGGAAUAACCCGUUGAAAGACGGACUAAUACCCCAUAACACAGGGAUCCCGCAUGGGAAUAUUUGUUAAAGAUUUAUCGGUUGUAGAUGGGCAUGCGUUCCAUUAGCUUGUUGGUGAGGUAACGGCUCACCAAGGCAACGAUGGAUAGGGGAACUGAGAGGUUUAUCCCCCACACUGGUACUGAGACACGGACCAGACUCCUACGGGAGGCAGCAGUGAGGAAUAUUGGUCAAUGGACGCAAGUCUGAACCAGCCACGUCGCGUGAAGGAAGACGGCCCUACGGGUUGUAAACCUCUUUUGUAAGGGAAUAAAGUGUAGUACGUGUACUAUUUUGCAUGUACCUUACGAAUAAGGAUCGGCUAACUCCGUGCCAGCAGCCGCGGUAAUACGGAGGAUCCGAGCGUUAUCCGGAUUUAUUGGGUUUAAAGGGUGCGCAGGCGGGAGAUUAAGUCGGCGGUGAAAUUUUGCAGCUCAACUGUAAAAGUGCCUUCGAAACUGGUUUCCUUGAGUGUGGAUGAAGUAGGCGGAAUUUGUGGUGUAGCGGUGAAAUGCAUAGAUAUCACGAGGAACUCCGAUUGCGCAGGCAGCUUACUAAACCAUAACUGACGCUCAGGCACGAAGGCGUGGGGAUCAAACAGGAUUAGAUACCCUGGUAGUC
This 798-nucleotide ribosomal RNA is filed under the name uncultured Proteiniphilum sp. Its description in RNAcentral is "bacterial SSU rRNA". It matches the Rfam family "Bacterial small subunit ribosomal RNA", at positions 8 to 795 of the family's 1533-position model. Lineage: Bacteria; Pseudomonadati; Bacteroidota; Bacteroidia; Bacteroidales; Dysgonomonadaceae. The record is from RNAcentral.